RNAcentral lists this ribosomal RNA (432 nucleotides) under uncultured bacterium. RNAcentral's name for it is "partial 16S ribosomal RNA". It matches the Rfam family "Bacterial small subunit ribosomal RNA", at positions 29 to 506 of the family's 1533-position model. The record is from RNAcentral.
AACGAACGCUGGCGGCAUGCCUAACACAUGCAAGUCGAACGAGACCUUCGGGUCUAGUGGCGCACGGGUGCGUAACGCGUGGGAACCUGCCCUUAGGUUCGGAAUAACUCCCCGAAAGGGGUGCUAAUACCGGAUAAUGUCUUCGGACCAAAGAUUUAUCGCCUUUGGAUGGGCCCGCGUUGGGUUAGCUAGUUGGUAGGGUAAAAGCCUACCAAGGCGACGAUCCAUAGCUGGUCUGAGAGGAUGAUCAGCCACACUGGGACUGAGACACGGCCCAGACUCCUACGGGAGGCAGCAGUGGGGAAUAUUGGACAAUGGGCGAAAGCCUGAUCCAGCAAUGCCGCGGGAGUGAUGAAGGCCUUAGGGUGGUAAAGCUCUUUUACCCGGGAUGAUAAUGACAGUACCGGGAGAAUAAGCUCCGGCUAACUCCGU